RNAcentral lists this ribosomal RNA (115 nucleotides) under Alphaproteobacteria bacterium CG11_big_fil_rev_8_21_14_0_20_39_49. RNAcentral also lists the same sequence under 2 other names. Lineage: Bacteria; Pseudomonadati; Pseudomonadota; Alphaproteobacteria. The record is from RNAcentral.
UCUGGUAGCAAUAGCAAGUGUGAACCACCUGUUCCCAUCUCGAACACAGAAGUGAAACCGCUUAGCGCCGAUGGUACUGCAUCUUAAGAUGUGGAAGAGUAGGACACUGCCAGGC